This 453-nucleotide ribosomal RNA is filed under the name uncultured bacterium. RNAcentral describes it as "bacterial SSU rRNA". It matches the Rfam family "Bacterial small subunit ribosomal RNA", at positions 40 to 518 of the family's 1533-position model. The record is from RNAcentral.
CGGCGUGCUUCAUACAUGCAAGUCGAACGAGAAAUCACUCGGUGGUGGAAGUGGCGACGGGUGAGUAAUAUGUAGAGAAUCUGCCCUAGAGAUGGGGACAACAGUUGGAAACGACUGCUAAUACCCAAUAUGAGCGUAGCUGAGAUGCUAUUCUUGAAAACUCCGGUGCUCUGGGAUGAGUCUGCAUCUGAUUAGCUAGUUGGCGGUGUAAUGGACCACCAAGGCGACGAUCAGUAGCUGGUUUGAGAGGAUGAUCAGCCACAAUGGGACUGAGACACGGUCCAUACUCCUACGGGAGGCAGCAGUAGGGAAUUUUGCGCAAUGGGCGAAAGCCUGACGCCAGCAACGCCGCGUGAUUGAUGAAGCCCUUCGGGGUGUAAAGAUCUGUCAGUGGGGACGAAACUUGACGGUACCCACAGAGGAAGCACCGGCUAACUCCGUGCCAGCCGCGGC